AUUGAACGCUAGCGGGAUGCCUUACACAUGCAAGUCGAACGGCAGCACGGACUUCGGUCUGGUGGCGAGUGGCGAACGGGUGAGUAAUGUAUCGGAACGUGCCUAGUAGCGGGGGAUAACUACGCGAAAGCGUAGCUAAUACCGCAUACGCCCUACGGGGGAAAGCAGGGGAUCGCAAGACCUUGCACUAUUAGAGCGGCCGAUAUCGGAUUAGCUAGUUGGUGGGGUAACGGCUCACCAAGGCGACGAUCCGUAGCUGGUUUGAGAGGACGACCAGCCACACUGGGACUGAGACACGGCCCAGACUCCUACGGGAGGCAGCAGUGGGGAAUUUUGGACAAUGGGGGAAACCCUGAUCCAGCCAUCCCGCGUGUGCGAUGAAGGCCUUCGGGUUGUAAAGCACUUUUGGCAGGAAAGAAACGUCAUGGGCUAAUACCCCGUGAAACUGACGGUACCUGCAGAAUAAGCACCGGCUAACUACGUGCCAGCAGCCGCGGUAAUACGUAGGGUGCAAGCGUUAAUCGGAAUUACUGGGCGUAAAGCGUGCGCAGGCGGUUCGGAAAGAAAGAUGUGAAAUCCCAGAGCUUAACUUUGGAACUGCAUUUUUAACUACCGAGCUAGAGUGUGUCAGAGGGAGGUGGAAUUCCGCGUGUAGCAGUGAAAUGCGUAGAUAUGCGGAGGAACACCGAUGGCGAAGGCAGCCUCCUGGGAUAACACUGACGCUCAUGCACGAAAGCGUGGGGAGCAAACAGGAUUAGAUACCCUGGUAGUCCACGCCCUAAACGAUGUCAACUAGCUGUUGGGGCCUUCGGGCCUUGGUAGCGCAGCUAACGCGUGAAGUUGACCGCCUGGGGAGUACGGUCGCAAGAUUAAAACUCAAAGGAAUUGACGGGGACCCGCACAAGCGGUGGAUGAUGUGGAUUAAUUCGAUGCAACGCGAAAAACCUUACCUACCCUUGACAUGUCUGGAAUUCCGAAGAGAUUUGGAAGUGCUCGCAAGAGAACUGGAACACAGGUGCUGCAUGGCUGUCGUCAGCUUGUGUCGUGAGAUGUUGGGUUAAGUCCCGCAACGAGCGCAACCCUUGUCAUUAGUUGCUACGAAAGGGCACUCUAAUGAGACUGCCGGUGACAAACCGGAGGAAGGUGGGGAUGACGUCAAGUCCUCAUGGCCCUUAUGGGUAGGGCUUCACACGUCAUACAAUGGUCGGGACAGAGGGUCGCCAACCCGCGAGGGGGAGCCAAUCCCAGAAACCCGAUCGUAGUCCGGAUCGCAGUCUGCAACUCGACUGCGUGAAGUCGGAAUCGCUAGUAAUCGCGGAUCAGCAUGUCGCGGUGAAUACGUUCCCGGGUCUUGUACACACCGCCCGUCACACCAUGGGAGUGGGUUUUACCAGAAGUAGUUAGCCUAACCGUAAGGGGGGCGAUUACCACGGUAGGAUUCAUGACUGGGGUG
RNAcentral lists this ribosomal RNA (1453 nucleotides) under uncultured Achromobacter sp. RNAcentral describes it as "bacterial SSU rRNA". It matches the Rfam family "Bacterial small subunit ribosomal RNA". Lineage: Bacteria; Pseudomonadati; Pseudomonadota; Betaproteobacteria; Burkholderiales; Alcaligenaceae. The record is from RNAcentral.